RNAcentral lists this ribosomal RNA (261 nucleotides) under uncultured bacterium. RNAcentral's name for it is "partial 16S ribosomal RNA". It matches the Rfam family "Bacterial small subunit ribosomal RNA", at positions 524 to 785 of the family's 1533-position model. The record is from RNAcentral.
UACGGAGGAUCCAAGCGUUAUCCGGAAUCAUUGGGUUUAAAGGGUCCGUAGGCGGUUUGGUAAGUCAGUGGUGAAAGCCCAUCGCUCAACGGUGGAACGGCCAUUGAUACUGCCAGACUUGAAUUAUUAGGAAGUAACUAGAAUAUGUAGUGUAGCGGUGAAAUGUUAGAGAUUACAUGGAAUACCAAUUGCGAAGGCAGGUUACUACUAAUGGAUUGACGCUGAUGGACGAAAGCGUGGGUAGCGAACAGGAUUAGAACC